AGUGAACGCUGGCGGUAGGCCUAACACAUGCAAGUCGAACGGCAGCACAGUAAGAGCUUGCUCUUACGGGUGGCGAGUGGCGGACGGGUGAGGAAUACAUCGGAAUCUACUUUUUCGUGGGGGAUAACGUAGGGAAACUUACGCUAAUACCGCAUACGACCUACGGGUGAAAGCAGGGGAUCUUCGGACCUUGCGCGAUUGAAUGAGCCGAUGUCGGAUUAGCUAGUUGGGGGGGUAAAGGCCCACCAAGGCGACGAUCCGUAGCCGGUCUGAGAGGAUGGUCACCCGCACGGGAACGGAGACACGGACCAGACUCCUACGAGAGGCAGCAGUGGGGAAUGUUGGACAAUGGGCGCAAACCUGAUCCAGUCAUACCGCGUGUGUGGAGAAGGCCUUCGGGUUGUAAAGCCCUUUUGUUGGGAAAGAACAGCAGCAGGUUAAUACCCCGCUGUUCUGACGGUACCCAAAGAAUAAGCACCGGCUAACUUCGUG
Molecule: ribosomal RNA, 492 nt
Filed under: uncultured bacterium
Lineage: Bacteria
Description: partial 16S ribosomal RNA
Rfam family: Bacterial small subunit ribosomal RNA
Source: RNAcentral